GAGGAACGUGAUGGAGUGUAUUAU
This 24-nucleotide non-coding RNA is filed under the name Arabidopsis thaliana (thale cress). The record is from RNAcentral. Lineage: Eukaryota; Viridiplantae; Streptophyta; Magnoliopsida; Brassicales; Brassicaceae.